Molecule: ribosomal RNA, 214 nt
Filed under: Pichia kudriavzevii
Lineage: Eukaryota; Fungi; Ascomycota; Pichiomycetes; Pichiales; Pichiaceae
Description: partial 26S ribosomal RNA
Rfam family: Eukaryotic large subunit ribosomal RNA
Source: RNAcentral
GACCAGGGGGUUUUGCCUCAGUAGCGGCGAGUGAAGCGGCAAGAGCUCAGAUUUGAAAUCGUGCUUUGCGGCACGAGUUGUAGAUUGCAGGUUGGAGUCUGUGUGGAAGGCGGUGUCCAAGUCCCUUGGAACAGGGCGCCCAGGAGGGUGAGAGCCCCGUGGGAUGCCGGCGGAAGCAGUGAGGCCCUUCUGACGAGUCGAGUUGUUUGGGAAU